Molecule: ribosomal RNA, 400 nt
Filed under: uncultured bacterium
Lineage: Bacteria
Description: bacterial SSU rRNA
Rfam family: Bacterial small subunit ribosomal RNA
Source: RNAcentral
UGGGGAAUCUUGCGCAAUGGACGAAAGUCUGACGCAGCCACGCCGCGUGAGUGAAGAAGGCCUUCGGGUUGUAAAGCUCUGUCGAUCGGGACGAAAACCCGGUAGGUGAAUAGCCUAUCGGCUUGACGGUACCGAGAGAGGAAGCACCGGCUAACUCCGUGCCAGCAGCCGCGGUAAUACGGAGGGUGCAAGCGUUGCUCGGAAUUAUUGGGCGUAAAGGGCAGGUAGGUGGUCUCAUUUGUCAGGGGUGAAAUCCUUGGGCUUAACCCAAGAAGUGCCCCUGAAACGGUGAGACUCGAGUACUGGAGAGGGUCGUGGAAUUCCCGGUGUAGCGGUGAAAUGCGUAGAGAUCGGGAGGAACACCAGAGGCGAAGGCGGCGACCUGGACAGUAACUGACAC